This 534-nucleotide long non-coding RNA is filed under the name Bos taurus (domestic cattle). RNAcentral's name for it is "long non-coding RNA NONBTAT022840". Lineage: Eukaryota; Metazoa; Chordata; Mammalia; Artiodactyla; Bovidae. The record is from RNAcentral.
GCCAGAAUUUACUGAGCACUCAGCUAGGGAGGGUCUGGGACUUAUUUCAUAGCAAGUAAGAUACAGUUCUCUCACCCCAGGCCAUCAUACUAGUGGAAGAAAUGGGCCAUCAGUCUGAGGUGUCAGCUGGAAAUUGCAGUGGGGUGGCGGGAACCACAGCCAAAGCAGAGGCUGCCAUACUGUGGCUGUGCAUGGCCUGUGACUGCUUUGUGGAGAGAGAAGUCCUGAAAGUCUGGUGGGAGCUACUGAAUUGAUGUGAAUAUCAGGAAACAGAUGGAUUGAGGCACAAUCUGUGGUUCGGAAUUCAAGUUAGUAUGAAAGCAGGCUGGAAGGGACUCUGUGUGUGGGGACGGGUGUCAUGUGGCAAGGUUAGGACAGGGAAAUCCAGGUCCUAAGUGGAUGAGACAAAUGUGGCCUCACGUAGCUGGGUUGAGCGGGGUGUGAAUAGGCCCUAUUCUGUCACCUUAGAGCAUGUGCUCUGCACUGUGCAGAAGAGCUGUGUGCCCAUCACACUCAGAAGCCAAGUGGACCGGG